Molecule: ribosomal RNA, 272 nt
Filed under: uncultured Pseudomonas sp.
Lineage: Bacteria; Pseudomonadati; Pseudomonadota; Gammaproteobacteria; Pseudomonadales; Pseudomonadaceae
Description: partial 16S ribosomal RNA
Rfam family: Bacterial small subunit ribosomal RNA
Source: RNAcentral
AGUUACCAGCACGUUAUGGUGGGCACGUCUAAGGAGGACUGCCGGUGGCAAACCGGAGGAAGGUGGGGAUGACGUCAAGUCAUCAUGGCCCUUACGGCCUGGGCUACACACGUGCUACAAUGGUCGGUACAAAGGGUUGCCAAGCCGCGAGGUGGAGCUAAUCCCAUAAAACCGAUCGUAGUCCGGAUCGCAGUCUGCAACUCGACUGCGUGAAGUCGGAAUCGCUAGUAAUCGUGAAUCAGAAUGUCACGGUGAAUACGUUCCCGGGCCUU